This 4638-nucleotide long non-coding RNA is filed under the name Capra hircus (goat). Its description in RNAcentral is "lncRNA (ENSCHIG00010009668.1)". Lineage: Eukaryota; Metazoa; Chordata; Mammalia; Artiodactyla; Bovidae. The record is from RNAcentral.
GCUGCUGCUGCUGUUGCUGCACCGGGCGCGGCCGCGACACUCGCCUGGGUCUCCGGUUGGCGGCUCGGACGGAGUUCAUUUGCCGGGCUGAGGUGGCGGCGUUGGCGGAGGGACACACACACACACACGCACACGCACCGCGAGCUCCGGGGCGGGAGAAGGGGGUGGGGAGAGGGGGGAGGAAGGAAAGGGGGCGAGGGGAAGGGGAGAUGGUAAGGGCGGAGGGGCGAGCGGGACCCCGAGUCAAGAGAAAGGCCCACGGAGACAGACAGAGACCGAGCGAGGCCAGGCGGGCGGGCCUGACGCACGGGCAAGGCCGAGGCCGCCGGGCGGGGCGGCCGCGAGGGACGGAGACAGAAAGACGGGCAGAGCGAGAGAAAGAAAGAAAGGGCGUCCGCCCGCCUGGGGAUCCUGAGGCGAAGCGCGGCGUCGGCGGCUGAGGACACAGACCCUGGUCCCGCCGACUCCCGAGCGGCGUCUCCGGCGGCGGGGGGAGUGGGCGGGCGGGUGAGGAAGGGAGAAGGAGGAGAAGAGAGGGAGAGAAGGGAGGGAGGGAGCAGGGGGCGCCCGGCUCUUUUUUUUUUCCUCUUCCUCCCCCCCACACCCCCUGAAAGAGAUUUCUGAGAGGAAUUUUUUCUCUCUUUCUUCGGCCUCUUCUCUCUCCUCCCCCCCUUCUCUCCUCGGCGAAGGGGAAAUGAGUGUGAAGGGAGGAGAUAGGGGGAAAAAGAGGCGUCGUCGUUCCUCCUCCUUAAAGGAGCCUUUCCUCCUCCUCCUCCUCAGCCCCGUCGCCGCUGCUUCUGCUGCUGCUCCGUGGCAGGAGGAGCCAUUGACACCGCCGGAGCCACCACUCGCCCAAUCUCAGAAACUCAGAGGAAAAGAAAAGCCCCAAGGGGAAUUAUCUUUUGUGUCUGUAUCUGGUCCCCUCGAGAUAAUCUCUCCCCAGGGAAAACGUGUUUUAAUUCCCUCGCUGCUGUUGUGAUGACUGAAAAAGUAUCCUUUCUCGGUUCUUUGGCUCUCUUUUGUUUAUCACCUUAUGGAAAUGGUAAAACUAGCAAUUUACCUGAUUUUCGAUCCUAGGUGAUUUCUUUCUCAUUUCAGUUUGACCAGGUGCUCUAUCUUAGGUUUGAGAUGGAUGACUAAGUGGUUACAAAGUACAAUAAGAGAAGCAGGGGUAAGAGCCGGGUAGUGUGUGUUUUGGGAGCGGAGAGGAACAGUGAGAACCACUUUUGUGUCGGGUGUUUGAGUCUCUGACUUGAUGUAUGCCUCUGGGCAAAAUACUUUACGUUUCUAGCUUUCAGGGUUCCCUCCCUUUCAAUAAGAAUUUACUUUGAAUUACAUAAUACUGUUUUUAAUUUUAAAACAUUCUCUGAUUUUGGGAUGAGCUCUCUUUGGUCCUGACAAUGGAGAAACUUCGAUCUAAGUUUCCUUCUCAAGAAAAAUAUCGAGGAGGGAGGCUUACAAUGAAGAACUACAAAUGUUUAUGGUGGUUAGCAAGGUACAAAUGGGUACAGUUUUAUAUUUGGUUCAAAUAAAUGUAGCAGGAAAAAAGGAAAACUACACGCUAUUGUACAUAUUAUAAGUGGAUCCAUAACUCUUUAUUUUUUCUAAAACUUUACUUUUUUCCAGCAUGCAUUCAUUGGUUUCUUCUGUGUAUGUAUUGCUAUGUAAGGUACUAUGGGAGAUAGCAAAAAAUAAAAUAAAUUGCAAAAUAUGGGACAUAGUUUGUAUUUUUUUUAUGGUAGUUGAUUUAGUUAAUUCAGAUGUACAGAGAAAACAUAGCUUAUUCUCUGUAGCUUAUCCUUCUUGAGUCCCCAUGUUAUCCCUUUUCUUUUAUAGGUAAGUACUGAAUCUUACAGAUUUCCCCACUUCCCUGUCAUCCAAGAUAUACAUGGGAGUUGAGGGAUUUUGUGUAAAGUGUACAUAGACGGAAUGUCGCAUCUUCAAUAUCCUAGAUUUCCAAGUUGUAAUUAAUAAACUUGGAAUGAUAGUUCUCUGGCCAUGUGGCAGUAAGAUGCCUUAUUUUAACAAAACCAGUAUAUUAUGACAAUUUUCUGAUAGGUGGAAGUAAAAUGCCUUGAUAGUGCCUUUUUCUAAUUCACACAGUAACUAGUGGGCUGGUAGAAGCCUGUGGUAUGGGAAGGUCAGCAGGACAUCAAGGAAAAGCCCUGAGCCACGCAUGCCAGUCCUUGUGUUGUCCUUUACUUGUGGAGCGUCUGGUGUAGUCCAAAAGCAGAACUGCUAGCCUCAGAGAUAGAACUGCUCCCUCUGUCCUUUCGAGAAGUUGUGCUGCUUCCACACUGAACCAUUUGCCUUAUACACUGCAACUUCUGUCCUGAACCCAGGCCUCCGCAGGUCCACUGAUUCUCAUGAUGCCAUUCCAUCUUCUCACUGAAACAUGUGGGAACUUCUGGUUUCCCAGAAUAUCCCAUUUAGGCCUUGAUGAGCCAGAAACUUUGCUUCAAGCUCAUCUACUGAGCCACCUCCCUUCACCGAUGUUGCAUUUUUCUCCCUAUGUCAUGUGGAACAUGCCAUUAAGCUGAAAGCAGAGAUCCUAGCAGACUCAGCCUCUCACAGGCAUGCCCAGAGAAGCAAACCAUUACCCCAUUUUUCUUGGAUUUCCCCAUAUCUCUGAAUAUUUCAACUAUAUACUGCCAACUCUAGUUUCCACAUUGAGAAGGGACAGGAAGUAAGCACACUGAGUCUGAUUACCUCUUUCUGUCCCCCUUUCUUCUUUCCAUGAUCGCUUAGGGCUAUAAGAGAUGGAUUUUUCUAACACGACAUUGUAAAAUACAUAUUUUAAUUAUAAAGUUUUUUAAAAGAGAUUAUUUUUAUUCUUGUGACAAGAGCUUUCGUCAUGUACCACAUCCUCUUCAUUUUUUGUUAUGACUUCUACUGUGCUCCCUUUUUUGGAGCCAUGAUGGUGGAUGGGACGCAGGAAAGCGUUCCAUUAACAAUAAUGGAAUAUCUACUGGGAGAUAUUAAAAAAUAUUAUCCUAUCAUAUCUCUGGCUCCUACAUAUUUUUAGUUUAUCUUACAAAAGCGUUAAACGUUAGAGACUUCUUUGUGAAAAAGUGUUUAAAGCCAUCUUAAGUUAAAACUUGGGAGUUGUUAGAAUAGGCCUUGGAGAUCAUUUAAUUCUCAUGUUUGUAUUUGCUAUAUAAGGAAACUAAAAUUCAAAGAAAUGAGGCGACAGAAGCAAAUCCCAUAACUACUUAGUAGCAAAGUUAAUGCCUGACAGUCCAGUGCCCUUUCUGUUCACAGAUAUUAUAGACUUUUAAUUCUUCCAGUGAAACACAAAAUAUUCCAAAUGGUCUUAGCCAUCGCCAGGUCCACCUGUGUUAGCAGAUAAUCCGGUCAGUUAGCUGCCAUAGGAGGUAUAUGUGAGAGAAAACAGCAGAAAAACAUAAAGGAGAUUUUUAUUNNNNNNNNNNNGGGGGGUGGGUAGCAGUCUUCCAAAUUAUUUCAGUAUACACUUACCAUAAUUUCAGAGGACUGAGUUCCCUCAGGUUUGCUCGCUCUUCAAGAAUAUUUGUUUCUCUCAACUAAUUACUGGUGCUUAACAGGUUUGUGUACUUAAAAUUAUUUGUUUAUAAAACAUCACAAUAGGAGUGUGGAAAAAAUAAGCCCUUUAAUCAUUUUAAUACCUGGCAGGNNNNNNNNNNNNNNNNNNNNNNNNNNNNNNNNNNNNNNNNNNNNNNNNNNNNNNNNNNNNNNNNNNNNNNNNNNNNNNNNNNNNNNNNNNNNNNNNNNNGGAAAAAAUAAGCCCUUUAAUCAUUUUAAUACCUGGCAGGUGAUAUUUACUGUGAUUUUUAAAUGAUAAUUUUUACCAUUUCAAAGAUUCAGCUUCCCCUUUCCCUGUCAUUCCAUCAUCUAGUCUUAAGCCGUCAGUACUCAAGUCAGUUAUAUAAGACACCUGAAAGCUGCUCAUUCCUUUUAUGUCAUUUAGGAAAUUAGUUUGAUCUGAAUAUGGUUUUCCUGAAGGAAUAACCAGCUCUGUUUAAAAUAUCCUUGUUAGAGUAUGAAUGACUUAUCUCACUAAGCUGCAAAAAGUCAUUCUUUAGUACAUGCUCAGAUAAUAUUUUAUCAAUUAGUAAGUGAAAAUUAACUUGGAACUAAGAAUUUAAAUUCAGUGUAUAUGUGGGAAAACCUGGUAAGCAUGCAAUCAAAUGAUCCUCAUAACAGAGGUUAUCUGUAAAAAAAAUUAUAGAAUCUAACUUUAAUACCUUUCCCUGUGGAAUAAUAGAGACAUAGCGCUAUCAAAAGAAAUUAUGUUCAAGAUUUAGGAUGGGCUGUGAUAGACCACUGUAAAUCUUUUUAUUUUUUUGCUUUGAAAAGGAGAACCCAAUUUUGAAGUAUUGAGAAAAGACUAGGCCAAACAAUAAAACGGUGUUAUAUUAUGGAAGGACUGGUAGGUGACUGAACUGUGGGCAGAUGUAAAUGAAAGAUGGUGACAGAGCUCUGCUACCUGCUGGCUCUCUGACCUUGGCCAAGUUACUUAGCCUCUCUAUGCUUCAGUUUCUAUGUCAGUAAUAUGGGGGUGAUAAUAGUCCUCAUUUCAUGGGAUUGUUGUGACGAUUAUAAAAUGCUGAGAAGAGUGCUCAGUAUGCAGUAGGAGCUCGAUAAACUAUUAGCCAUUAU